UGAGAAUUGGGACAGUUUGCUCCUGGGGGAGCUUUCAGACACCCCCAAAGGAGAACGUUCUUCCAAGCUCCUCUCUGCUCUCAACAGCCACAAGGACCGUUUCAUUUCAGGGAGAGAGAUUAAGAAGAGGAAAUGUUUGUUUGGUCUCCAUGCUCGGAUGCCUCCCCCUGUGGAGCCCCCUACUGGAGAUGGAGCACUCACCAGGUCACUGGUCCAGGGGGGAUGGGGGAAAUUCUCAGGGUGUUAGUCCUGGGGGGUAUAUGUAUAGAGAUGGGGAGGUCUUGGGGGUGUCCGGGAGGGGGCUGGGGGGAUAAGGAGGCCUCUUACAGCUUCCCUUCAGGGCAGGGCCCUGGGGGAGGGGUCUCACGUCCCCUGGGGAAGCGCCGGAGGCCGGAACCAGAGCCCCUGAGGAGGAGGCAGAAGGGGAAAGUGGAGGAGCUGGGGCCACCCUCAGCAGUGCGCAAUCAGCCCGAGCCCCAGGAGCACAGGGAGCGGGCUCAUCUACAGAGGGCACUGCAGGCCUCAGUGUCUCCACCAUCCCCCAGCCCUAACCAGAGUUACCAGGGCAGCAGCGGCUACAACUUCCGGCCCACAGAUGCCCGCUGCCUGCCCAGCAGCCCCAUCCGGAUGUUUGCUUCCUUCCACCCUUCUGCCAGCACCGCAGGGACCUCUGGGGACGGUGAACCCCCAGACAGGUCACCCCUGGAACUUCACAUUGGUUUCCCCACAGACAUCCCUAAAAGUGCCCCCCACUCGAUGACUGCCUCAUCUUCCUCAGUCUCAUCCCCAUCCCCAGGUCUUCCUAGACGCUCAGCACCCACUUCUCCCCUGUGCCGUAGUUUGUCUCCUGGGACUGGGGGAGGAGUCCGAGGUGGGGUUGGUUACCUGUCCCGAGGGGACCCUGUCCGGGUCCUUGCUCGGAGAGUACGGCCUGAUGGCUCUGUGCAGUACCUGGUUGAGUGGGGAGGAGGGGGCAUCUUCUGAACAGCCUGCCUCUGCCCAGCUCCCCAUUCACACACACCGGCACUUUCAUACCCUGACCUCUGACCUCACCUACAGCUGGGAUGUACCUGGAGAGAUGGGGGUAGUUCUCCCUAC
This 1098-nucleotide small RNA is filed under the name Pan troglodytes (chimpanzee). Its description in RNAcentral is "retained intron". Lineage: Eukaryota; Metazoa; Chordata; Mammalia; Primates; Hominidae. The record is from RNAcentral.